Molecule: ribosomal RNA, 660 nt
Filed under: Triticum aestivum (bread wheat)
Lineage: Eukaryota; Viridiplantae; Streptophyta; Magnoliopsida; Poales; Poaceae
Description: partial small subunit ribosomal RNA
Source: RNAcentral
AUGGCGGUGACCCUGUGGGCCAUUUGGUUUGCAAGGCGUAAGGCGAUCCAUGAAAACAUUUUCCAGAGUCCGCAACAAAUUAGUUCUUUUGUGAACUCUUAUCUUCAUGAGCUACAAACUAUCCCUAAACAGUUCAGACAGGCGCGCAUAAUUGUGUCAAAACCAUCGACUGCUCCUCGAUGGCUUCCUUUGGAGGAGGGGGUAGCAAAGAUCAACGCGGAUGGGGCCGUUUCUGGUGACGGUAAAGUGGGUGUGGCGGCUGCAAUAUGUCGAGAUCACACAGGAGAAUACCUCGGCUCUUCGGCUGUUGUGUUCAGUGGCAUCACGGAUCCUUUGAUCCUUGAAGUUUAUGCGUGCAGAGAGGCAAUGGCCCUGGCAGAAGACCUCAACAUCCACAGGCUACGUAUUGCAAAUGAUUGUCAAGGGGUGAUCGCGGACAUCAACUCCGGAAGCAGAGGACCACAUGCAGUGAUUCUACAUGAAAUAUCAGAACGGAAGAGUCUUUUUCUUUCUUGCAAUUUUGUUUUUGAACGUAGAAAUUUUAAUUUCGAGGCUCAUGAUCUCGCCAAGUUUGCUAGUAGACUUUCGGUUGGUCGUCAUAUCUGGUUGGGCAUGCCUCACGACCUUAACUUUGUACCCACAAACAUUUUGUUGGUUUAA